This 236-nucleotide long non-coding RNA is filed under the name Elaeis guineensis (African oil palm). RNAcentral's name for it is "long non-coding RNA (EGUI_LNC075778)". The record is from RNAcentral. Lineage: Eukaryota; Viridiplantae; Streptophyta; Magnoliopsida; Arecales; Arecaceae.
AGUUACCAGAGUUGAUCCUAAGCUUAUCAUUCUGGAGUGGCAGGCUUUAUGCUUACGAUUGUUAGGGUUUGAGCCCGACAUCCAGUUUUUCGAUCAUUCACGACUUAGGAUAGAGUGUUUGGAUGAUCGUUAUCGAUAUUUUCACAUUGGGGAUGAUGCACUAGAGGAGAUGGUGCAGCAGUAUGUUAGGGGUCAGGUGCUGCGAUUGCUUGAUGGUGUUCUAUUACCUGAUACUU